AAUAGAGGAAACCUCCUACAGGAGGUCACGUCAUACUGACAGAUGUGCUGAAGCAAACAUGUCAUCAUCAAGGGGAAGGAUUUCUCUGGUUGGGGAACUUUCCCAAAAUAGGACAAGUUUCUUUAUAGAGAGACAUGACUGGAAAGUGGGUGUUACAUGGACCUCCAAACAUAGUAAUCUAAUACUGGAAAGAAGGUAAUUAGGA
Non-coding RNA from Pelobates cultripes (western spadefoot toad), 205 nucleotides. NCBI's taxonomy places the organism in Eukaryota, Metazoa, Chordata, Amphibia, Anura, Pelobatidae. The record is from the annotation of a GenBank genome assembly.